CCCUUAGAUGUUCUGGGCCGCACACGCGCUACACUGAAGGAGGCAGCGUGUACUCCUGGAUCGAAAGAUUUGGGUAACCCGCGAAUCUCCUUCGUGCUAGGGAUUGAGGUUUGCAUUUAUCCUUCAUGAACGAGGAAUUCCCAGUAAGUGCAAGUCAUAAGCUUGCGCUGACUACGUCCCUGCCCUUUGUACACACCGCCCGUCGCUACUACCGAUUGAAUGAUUUAGUGAGGACUUCGGACUGGGACCGAUGCGGCUUUCGGGCUGCGUCGGUAUUCUGGAAAGAUGUCCAAACUGUAUCAUUUAGAGGAAGUAAAAGUCGUANCA
RNAcentral lists this ribosomal RNA (327 nucleotides) under uncultured eukaryote. RNAcentral describes it as "partial 18S ribosomal RNA". It matches the Rfam family "Eukaryotic small subunit ribosomal RNA", at positions 1470 to 1796 of the family's 1831-position model. The record is from RNAcentral.